This is a long non-coding RNA of Oncorhynchus kisutch (coho salmon), 2446 nucleotides long. RefSeq lists it as uncharacterized. The transcript has 3 exons. Lineage: Eukaryota; Metazoa; Chordata; Actinopteri; Salmoniformes; Salmonidae. The record is from RefSeq and is a predicted model, not a curated record.
CUAUACCAGACAGGACUGUUUUGUUUGUUCCAGUUUGGGCUAGUGUAUUAAAAGAUCAUGAACACGUACCACGCUGCACCUUGGUCCUCUCCUUCUUCCACCUACGAUAGCCGUUACAGCGAGGAUCUCCUUUCAGAGAGACUUAAGGGACUGCAACAUAAUCUGCUUUACGUAAACGUGGCUUUCUUCCUCGAUGUUGUCUAUCUAUUAGAGCUGAGUGAUCUCUCUGCUACCUCCGACACCUUGAACAAUCAGAUCCUCCUCUCUACACUAUCAGGGCUGGGCAUCUCAGGCCCUGCACUCUUUUGGAUUGCAUCCUUCCUGGCAGACCACAUCUAGAAGGUGGCGACACGCAUCUCUGCAUGCCUGAAAGAUAUCUCAGCUUGGAUGUUGGCCCACCAUCUCAUGCUAAACCUCGACAAGACGGAGCUGCUCUUCCUCCUGGGGAAGGCCUGCCCACUCAAAGAACUCUCCAUCACAGCUGACAACUCCACAAUGUCACCCUCCCAGAGUGCAAAGAACCUUGGCGUGACCCUGGGAACACUGUCAUUCUCUGCAAACAUCAAAGCAGUGACUUGCUCCUGCAGGUUCAUGCUCUACAUCAUCCGUAGAGUACGACCCUACCUCACACAGGAAGUGGUACAGGUCCUAAUCCAGGCACUUGUCAUCUGUACUACUGCAACUUGCUGUUGGCUGGGCUCCCCACUUGUGCCAUCAAACCCCUGAAACUUAUCCAGAACGCUGCAGCACGCCAGGUUUUCAACCUUCCCAAGUUCUUCCAUGUCACCCAGCUCCUCCGCGCACUCCACUGGCUUCCAGUUGAUGCUCGCAUCCACAACAAGACCAUGGUGCUUGCCUCUGGAGCAGCAAGAGGAACUGCCCCUCCCUACUUGCAGGCUAUGCUCAAACCCUACGUCCCAAUCCAAGCACUCCAUUCUGCCACAUGUGUUCUCUUGGCCCUCCCACCCCUACGGGAGGGUAGCUUCUGCUCAGCCCAGUCCAAUGGUGGAACCAGCUUGCCUCUGAAGCUAGGACAGCAGAAACCUGAAACCCUACCUCUUCAAAGUAUCUUAAAUAAUCCCCCUCCUCAACCUCGGCCCUGAAUCAACACUUGCACUUGACUCCUCCCCCUUUUCAAGCUCUGACUUUGCUGAUAGCUACUUUAUUGAGGGAAAAGUGUACUUACUAUGCCUGUGAUAUGUCCCUCCUAGCUAUCUUAAGAUGAUUGCACUAACUGUAUGCCGCUCUGGAUAACCAUUUAUUUACAUCAAAUAUUUCAGUUGUUGUGCAUAUUUCAUUUGUUUUAUUUGAUGAAUUUAUUAGUUAUUCCAAGUCAUAUCGUCUCUAUAGAGCUGCUGCCUAUGCUGUCUGACAGAAUCAGUAUUUUGUAGUUAUUCUAAGUAAAUAAGGCUUAGGUUUACUAUCAAUCACUUACAUCAUGUAUUUACAGGUUGAGAUACCUAGCGACGCAACAGCUGCUCUCUAGAUUCCCCUCACAACCAUGCAUUCUUCUGUAGCAAGCGUAAAAGAAACACUGACCGGACAGUCAUUGCAUUCAAUUUCCACAUAUUAUGCGCUAAACUAUGUAGAAUAUUGGCCUGUUGGAAACUACAACUCCCUAGUACAUCACACAGUUCAGGCUGAAUCUGAUUUAGCUCUAGAGAAACUGUGCAUUGUGCGCAUUGAGCUCCCAGUAAAAAAAGGAAAGAAAUGUAAUUCAAAUUAUUUAUCCGACUUGGGUCAAUUCAUUGUUUAAAACAGAAAAGCCCCAGAAAUGUAGGUCAAUCGCUCAGCACUAACAUCCAUCCAACCCGCUGGGUUCUCCGUCCAGUCUGUGUAUACAUCCAAUAAACAUUGAUUUUAUUUGAUAAUUGGCAUAGGUUUAUACUAGGAAAACUCACAAGGGGUUUCUUUGUUAGAUUUUUCCAGCGCUUAUAGCACUUAAUAUUCAGUGUGUGGAAACAGAACCAAACUGCUUAAAUAAACCUCCAGAAUGAAAAAAGUGGGAGUCAACAAUAACUUUCCCUCCUGUGAAGACAGCGAGCAGAGUGGAGUGCACAGAUUGAUAUUCUGACAGGAAAAUGUAGAAGUUUUGCCCUGAGCCCACGGCCAGUUUUCCAAUCUGUAAUCAAAUUCACCCCCCCCCCUCCCCCCACACACACACACACACUAUUUUCCACAUAGGUUCUCUAUCAACGGCACAUGCUCUCUCUCCAUCAGAAAUAACUCAAUGUGUUACAGUUCCUUAAGUUUAUGCCAUAUCUGAGAGACAUCGAUCCAUCUAUCUAUGCACCCAUACAGGCACAUAUUCUGCUAUUGUGCAGCACCAGCUAUACCAUUCUACCCAGGGAUUUGACCACAAACAUCAUUAAAAUGUUUUUAUUUUGCACUAAUGCUAAAUAAUACUCUCUUCCCUUUCCCUUUAUUAAAAACUGAAAUGAUAUUA